Molecule: non-coding RNA, 58 nt
Organism: Salmo salar (Atlantic salmon)
Lineage: Eukaryota; Metazoa; Chordata; Actinopteri; Salmoniformes; Salmonidae
Source: Rfam
UAGCUCAGUUGGUAGAGCAUGGUGUUUGCAACGCCAGGGUUGUGGGUUCGAUUCUCAC